Molecule: long non-coding RNA, 363 nt
Organism: Gallus gallus (chicken)
Lineage: Eukaryota; Metazoa; Chordata; Aves; Galliformes; Phasianidae
Source: Ensembl
CUCCAGAGGCCGGGUUAUGAAAACAAGGCUCCACGUGCCUGUUCCAGAGGAACCCUGUACUCCUCGCAAACUCCUCCAGGCAAGGAAGAUAUUGCAGCUGCAAAGAGGAACAACGCAGGGCAGGGAAUGGCAAGCACCAAGACGUAAGGAGUCCAGCCAGCAAGGAUCUGGCAGGGUGAGAUGUUUGGGCCUCAGCUCUCUUCCCACAGUUCAUCUGCAAAGCAAACGCUGAAUCCAUUGCUAGAGAAAAUACUGCUAUGUCGUGACAAGGCAGCAGCAGAGCAGAGCAGUGUGGACACCUCUUUGUGGGGCUGGUGCAAGUACUGAGAACAGCAGAGCCCACAGGAGAACACAAGCUGUUCC